GACGAACGCUGGCGGCGUGCUUAACACAUGCAAGUCGAACGGGUCUGCCCUGUUUUUUGCGGGGUGGGUCAGUGGCGAACGGGUGAGUAACACGUGAGUAACCUGCCCCUCACUUCUGGAUAACCGCUUGAAAGGGUGGCUAAUACGGGGUGUUCUGGCUGUGCCGCAUGGUGUGGCUGGGAAAGAUUGACUUUUGUGGUGUUUUGGUGGGGGAUGGGCUCGCGGCCUAUCAGCUUGUUGGUGGGGUGAUGGCCUGCGAGGGCUUUGACGGGUAGCCGGCCUGGGAGGGUGGGCGGUCACACUGGGAGUGCGGUACGGCCGAGACUGAGGCGCGGGGCAGAAGUCGGCGGUAGGGAACAGUGGGCAGAAGUGUGAUGCAGCGGCGACGCGGAAGCGGCAACGCCCUUCGGGUUAUGAACGUCUUUCGCCGGUGAAGAAGGUCCUGCUCUUUGUGGUGGGGUUUGCGGUAGCCGGGUUAUGAAGCGCCGGCUAACUACGUG
Molecule: ribosomal RNA, 500 nt
Filed under: uncultured bacterium
Lineage: Bacteria
Description: partial 16S ribosomal RNA
Rfam family: Bacterial small subunit ribosomal RNA
Source: RNAcentral